This 704-nucleotide ribosomal RNA is filed under the name Arthrobacter sp. UWC1. Its description in RNAcentral is "bacterial SSU rRNA". It matches the Rfam family "Bacterial small subunit ribosomal RNA", at positions 803 to 1501 of the family's 1533-position model. The record is from RNAcentral. Lineage: Bacteria; Bacillati; Actinomycetota; Actinomycetes; Micrococcales; Micrococcaceae.
UAAACGUUGGGCACUAGGUGUGGGGGACAUUCCACGUUUUCCGCGCCGUAGCUAACGCAUUAAGUGCCCCGCCUGGGGAGUACGGCCGCAAGGCUAAAACUCAAAGGAAUUGACGGGGGCCCGCACAAGCGGCGGAGCAUGCGGAUUAAUUCGAUGCAACGCGAAGAACCUUACCAAGGCUUGACAUGAACCGGCAACGCCUGGAGACAGGUGCCCCGCUUGCGGUCGGUUUACAGGUGGUGCAUGGUUGUCGUCAGCUCGUGUCGUGAGAUGUUGGGUUAAGUCCCGCAACGAGCGCAACCCUCGUUCUAUGUUGCCAGCACGUGAUGGUGGGGACUCAUAGGAGACUGCCGGGGUCAACUCGGAGGAAGGUGGGGGCGACGUCAAAUCAUCAUGCCCCUUAUGUCUUGGGCUUCACGCAUGCUACAAUGGCCGGUACAAAGGGUUGCGAUACUGUGAGGUGGAGCUAAUCCCAAAAAGCCGGUCUCAGUUCGGAUUGGGGUCUGCAACUCGUCCCCAUGAAGUCGGAGUCGCUAGUAAUCGCAGAUCAGCAACGCUGCGGUGAAUACGUUCCCGGGCCUUGUACACACCGCCCGUCAAGUCACGAAAGUUGGUAACACCCGAAGCCGGUGGCCUAACCCCUUGUGGGAGGGAGCUGUCGAAGGUGGGACUGGCGAUUGGGACUAAGUCGUAACAAGGUAACC